GGAUGCGAUCAUACCAGCAUUAAUGCUGCAGAUCCCAUCAGAACUCUGCAGUUAAGCGUGCUUGGCGAGAGUAGGUCUAGGAUGGGUGACCUCUCGCAAAGUCCUCGUGUUGCAGCCU
Molecule: ribosomal RNA, 118 nt
Filed under: Arabidopsis thaliana x Arabidopsis arenosa
Lineage: Eukaryota; Viridiplantae; Streptophyta; Magnoliopsida; Brassicales; Brassicaceae
Source: RNAcentral